AACCUCAAGAGAUGCAAGGGCAAGAACAUCUUUACUUGCGGACAUGCUCACAACAAGCUUCAGAACAAGAAGGCGGAUAACAGAGGCAUAGACAAACCUCCCACCAGACAAGACAAAAUAGGCAAAUGCACGCUUGCUGGGGUCACCAGGUGGGUAACGCUCAUGGUUAUGGUUAUCAUAGACAAUCUUUGAGUUAGGUGUUUUGACAGCUUCGACUGUGGCUGGGACUUCCGAACCAAAACCUACCUCAUUUCCUUGAGUGAGGACUUGAGAAGAGAAACCUGAAAGAUAGCAUGAAUCAUUAAUAUAUUCACAUCAAAACAAACCUUUUUGGGUCAAGUAUUCUACUAAAGCAAAAAUAUUUACGCAAACAAAAGAUCUGCUACAGCUAUAAAGAUGUGACCAUUGAUGAAAAAACUUCUAAGGAAAAACAAAAGUACAUAAAAACGGAAUCCAUGCAGGAAUAUAGAGAUUCAUGAAAACAAUACUCUAGCAUAAUAUCAAAUUCAGAAAAACUAAAGGCACUCUAAUCAACGGAAAAAUUAAGAAAACAGAUCCAGUGAUCAGAUGCUGUAUAUUACAAAAUUGCUUAAAACACAACAACACUCCCAAGCAAAGAUCUUUUGGUUAACAAGAUAUACAUUCCAGAAUGAAAGUUCCUCAGCAUGCCUAUUCAGUGCUAUAAAUACUCCAAAUCAUGUAUAUAGCGAAAACUACCAUCUCCCUAAUAAUGAAGAAAUACAUGGAUACACAAGAUGAGAACUUUAGAAAUCAAGAAGCGUGAAUCAACUAUAGAUAACGAACCCUAAGGUUUUAGAAACAAAAGAGAGUAAUUUGGAAGCUUUUCUCAUCAAACAAAGGAUUAUCCCAGAACUAGUCAAUCAUAUCCGAUCAAUAAACUCAAAUGUCAUUUCUUUCUGGAAAAAAAGACGCGAUCAUAGAAGGCAUCACCAUUUCGGCAAGGAGAAGAAUGACAGGAAAUGGUAUAUAGAGCUCUAAAACACCAUCCUAGUUCACGGGAUGCAAUAGCGAGAACACGUUCAUUCCCUCGUAUCAUCAACGCGGAAAUACAAUACUAGGAAUCUCAAUCAUUUCCGGCACAAAUAAGGAAAAAAUGUGAUUUUUUAAAAAAAAAUCAUUCAAUAAAUAAUACCUACAAACAACACGAGAAAUGAAAAUCGAUCCAGAGAGAGAAAGGGUUGUAAAUUGGCAGACCUCUUAGAAGGCUCCGGUGAUCAGAAUUGAAAUAUGAAAGACCUGCAGAGGCGACGGAUCUGGGGGCUGAAGAGGAGUCGCCGCCAUCGGAGAGCGUAUGGUCUCGCGAGAGAGCGAAGGAGGACGCAGUGGAAGAUCUCUGCGAAACAGACAAAAGCCUCCUCCCUGCAACUCGCAGCAUCUUCACUCAAUGGUAAUGGCCGAAUCUAGGGUUUGGCUCUAGCAAGAACAGAGUCCGAAUGUUAGGGACGGCCGAUGCAAAGAGAAGGAGAGUCCCUUAAAAUUAGUCUUCGAGAAAAGAAAAGGUCAAUUUGGUUUUUACUAUUAAACAUUUAUAUAUCCUGACCAAAAUUAAUUUUUAUUUUUUCAGUUUGAUUUUUGUUAUGAUUUUUUGGUACUGCGAUAUAUUUUGGUUUUAUUAUUUUUCUGGGUCUAGUCAAGACAAAUGAUAUUCAUUUUUACCUAACUUAAAUAAAUAAAAAGAACAAUAUAUAGAGAGAUCCCUUUCCAAUAAUUAGAUUAGAUGGAUAUACUUUCCUGUGAAGUAUAAUCGUAAUACUGUAUCAGGUCAAUUUCAGAAGAAAGAUUGGCCUGAUCGUGUAGAGCUUAUAUAGUUUGUGCUUUAGCAAAUGUACUUAGACAAUGCCAACAUACGGCAGAUAACUGGUAGAACAAACCGAGAAUGUUUUGCAAAUUUUUUCCGUUGCGACAAUAGUUUCAAGAGAAUUAGUCUCUAGAAUUACCUCGCUCAAUGGAUUCACAAGCAACGUUUCAAGGUUUUAAAGGAGAGAGGAUAAAACUGAGACUAAGAGUCAAGCAGGGAGCUGAUACAGUGAUACUAUUCAAAAUCCAAAAUUCUUUUCAAACAAUAAACACAAACUAUGGACAGUGUUUUUCACCGGAUAAGACAGAUGCUAAGUCAUACAAUGACAAGUUUGUAUUAUUCAGCAAAACAAGACAAUCUUGCUGAGAGACCCAAGUGUGAGGACAGCGAACUCGCACGCUAAAAUUUAAGCCCGGAAAUUAUAAAAACAAAAACAUAUGAAGAUCUUUGAGACACAGACGCUGUCUGUUGUGCAUUUAUUCAUCAACCAAUGAGUAACUUAUUCUCUUCCAAGAAGCUGUAGGUUGGUACUUCCAGGUUGUACGGUGCAGGACCUUUUCGGAUCCUUCCAGAGAUAUCGUAAUGCGAACCGUGACACGGGCAGAACCAACCUCCAAAGUCACCAGCAUUAGGCAAGGGGAUGCACCCCAAAUGAGUGCAGACUCCAACCACCACUAACCAUUCCGGAUUCUUGACCCUCACCGAGUCUUCUUGUGGAUCCCUCAGAGAUCCAACAUCCACACUAUUGGCCAGCUUGAUGUCAUCUUCUGUUCUUCUCCUGAUGAAGACGGGCUUUCCACGCCACUUCACUGUAACAGUGGUUCCUGGUUCGAUGGUCCCGAGGUCAACCUCGAGAGAUGCAAGGGCAAGGACAUCUUUACUUGCGGACAUGCUCACAACAAGCUUCAGAACAAGAAGGCGGAUAACAGAGGCAUAAACAAACCUCCCACCGGACAAGACAAAAUAGGCGAAUGCACGCUUGCUUGGGUCACCAGGUGGGUAACGCUCAUGGUUAUGGUUAUCAUAGACAAUCUUUGAGUUAGGUGUUUUGACAGCUUCGACUGUAGCUGGGACUUCAGAACCAAAACCUACCUCAUUUCCUUGAGUGAGGACUUGAGAAGCGAAACCUGAAAGUUGCAUGAAACAUUAAAUUAUUUACAUCAACGGGAAAAACAAAAUUCCCAAGCUAAGAUCUUUUGGUUAACAAUAUCUAAAUUCCAGAAUGAAAGUUCCUCAGUAUGCCUUAUAACUGCAAAAUCUGCAAUAUUCCAAAGCAAGUAUAUAGCUAAAACAUCCAUCUCCCCUAAUAAUGAAGAAACACAUGGAUACACAAGAUGAAAACUUUAUAAAUCAAGAAGCCAGAAACACACUAUAGAUAAAGCACCCCAAGGAUUUUACAAAUAAAGGAGAACCAUUUGGAAGCUUUUCACAUCAAACAAAGGAUUAUCCUAGAGCUAGUGAAUUCAUAUCCGAUCAAUAAACUCAAAAGAUCAAUUUCCUUCUGAAGAAAAUACGUAAUCAUAGAAGGCAAAACUAUUCUAGAAAGGAGCUGCAAGCAUUAAGAGAAUGAAACGAAAUGGACUAUUAAACCGUAGAGUUCAUGAAAGUCAAAACAGAUAACACGUUUGCUCCCACGGAUCAUCGCGUAGAUACGAAAACUGGAAUAUCAAUCGUUUCGGGGCUCAUAAAAGACCAGAAAAGGGAGUUGAUUAUUUGAAAAAACUUUCAAUCAACACCUGAAAAUGAAAAUUGAAUUCAAUCGAGAGAGAAGAGAUUGUAGAUCGGCAGAC
This 3609-nucleotide long non-coding RNA is filed under the name Eutrema salsugineum. Its description in RNAcentral is "long non-coding RNA (ESAL_LNC001098)". The record is from RNAcentral. Lineage: Eukaryota; Viridiplantae; Streptophyta; Magnoliopsida; Brassicales; Brassicaceae.